Molecule: unclassified non-coding RNA, 247 nt
Filed under: uncultured fungus
Lineage: Eukaryota; Fungi
Description: partial contains 5.8S ribosomal RNA, internal transcribed spacer 2, and large subunit ribosomal RNA
Rfam family: 5.8S ribosomal RNA (bases 1-52)
Source: RNAcentral
AACGCAAAUUGCGCCCUUUGGUAUUCCGAAGGGCAUGCCUGUUUGAGUGUCAUAUAGACUUCACCCAAUCAUUCUAUCUAAUUUAGAGUGUGUUGCUGGUGCUUUGGACGUCUUGCCAUUAGCCUGGCUCGUCUUAAAUGUCUAAGUGGUAACGGCGUGAUAAGUCUUCGCCUAUCUAACCACUCUAAGCCCCCUCUAUAUUUCAAUCUCUGACCUCAAAUCAGGUAGGACUACCCGCUGAACUUAA